This 301-nucleotide ribosomal RNA is filed under the name uncultured bacterium. RNAcentral describes it as "partial 16S ribosomal RNA". It matches the Rfam family "Bacterial small subunit ribosomal RNA", at positions 509 to 808 of the family's 1533-position model. The record is from RNAcentral.
CAGCCGCCGCGGUAAAACGUAGGUGGCAAGCGUUGUCCGGAAUUAUUGGGCGUAAAGGGCUCGCAGGCGGUUUCUUAAGUCUGAUGUGAAAGCCCCCGGCUCAACCGGGGGGGGCCAUUGGAAACUGGGAAACUUGAGUGCAGAAGAGGAGAGUGGAAUUCCACGUGUAGCGGUGAAAUGCGUAGAGAUGUGGAGGAACACCAGUGGCGAAGGCGACUCUCUGGUCUGUAACUGACGCUGAGGAGCGAAAGCGUGGGGAGCGAACAGGAUUAGAUACCCCUGUGUCCCUGUCUCUUAUACA